Molecule: ribosomal RNA, 433 nt
Filed under: uncultured bacterium
Lineage: Bacteria
Description: partial 16S ribosomal RNA
Rfam family: Bacterial small subunit ribosomal RNA
Source: RNAcentral
AAUGAACGCUGGCGGCAUGCCUAACACAUGCAAGUCGAACGACCGCAUAGGGGAUAGUGGCGCAUGGGUGCGUAACGCGUGGGAACCUGCCCUUAGGUUCGGAAUACCUCAGAGACAUGUGAGCUAAUGCAGGAAAAUGUCUUCGAACCAAAGAUUUAUCGCCUUUGGUUGGGCCCGCGUUGUAUUAGCUGGGUGGGUGGGUAAAGGCCUAUCAAGGCGUCGAUACAUAGCUGGUCUGAGAGGCUCGGCAGCCACACUGGGACUGAGGCACGGCCCAGACUCCUACGGGAGGCAGGAGAGGGGAAUAUUGGACAACGGGGGGAGGCCUGAGGCAGCAAUGCUGCGUGAGUGAUGAUGGUCUUAGAGUUGAAAAGCUCUUUUACCCGGGACGAUAAUGACGGUACCGAAAGAAUAAGCCCCGGCUAACUCCGUG